UACGUAGGUGGCAAGCGUUGUCCGGAUUUAUUGGGCGUAAAGCGCGUGUAGGCGGCCAGAUAGGUCUGCUGUGAAAACUCGAGGCUCAACCUCGAGCUGUCGGCGGAAACCAUCUGGCUAGAGUCCGGAAGAGGAGAGUGGAAUUCCUGGUGUAGCGGUGAAAUGCGCAGAUAUCAGGAAGAACACCUAUGGCGAAGGCAGCUCUCUGGGACGGUACUGACGCUGAGACGCGAAAGCGUGGGGAGCGAACAGG
This 253-nucleotide ribosomal RNA is filed under the name uncultured bacterium. Its description in RNAcentral is "partial 16S ribosomal RNA". It matches the Rfam family "Bacterial small subunit ribosomal RNA", at positions 524 to 776 of the family's 1533-position model. The record is from RNAcentral.